GAUGAACGCUGGCGGCGUGCCUAAUACAUGCAAGUCGAGCGAACAGACGAGGAGCUUGCUCCUCUGACGUUAGCGGCGGACGGGUGAGUAACACGUGGAUAACCUACCUAUAAGACUGGGAUAACUUCGGGAAACCGGAGCAAAUACCGGAUAAUAUAUUGAACCGCAUGGUUCAAUAGUGAAAGACGGUUUUGCUGUCACUUAUAGAUGGAUCCGCGCCGCAUUAGCUAGUUGGUAAGGUAACGGCUUACCAAGGCAACGAUGCGUAGCCGACCUGAGAGGGUGAUCGGCCACACUGGAACUGAGACACGGUCCAGACUCCUACGGGAGGCAGCAGUAGGGAAUCUUCCGCAAUGGGCGAAAGCCUGACGGAGCAACGCCGCGUGAGUGAUGAAGGUCUUCGGAUCGUAAAACUCUGUUAUUAGGGAAGAACAAAUGUGUAAGUAACUAUGCACGUCUUGACGGUACCUAAGCAGAAAGCCACGGCUAACUACGU
This 496-nucleotide ribosomal RNA is filed under the name uncultured bacterium. RNAcentral describes it as "partial 16S ribosomal RNA". It matches the Rfam family "Bacterial small subunit ribosomal RNA", at positions 28 to 506 of the family's 1533-position model. The record is from RNAcentral.